UUCGGUGGGGGGGCCCUCAGCCUGGAUUGCGAGAGAGUGCAGGCCAGGCCAAGGGAUUCCAUCAGUGCACG
This 71-nucleotide microRNA precursor is filed under the name Myotis brandtii (Brandt's bat). RNAcentral describes it as "mir-9193 microRNA precursor family". It matches the Rfam family "mir-9193 microRNA precursor family". The record is from Rfam by way of RNAcentral. Lineage: Eukaryota; Metazoa; Chordata; Mammalia; Chiroptera; Vespertilionidae.